AUGGCUUUUAGGCCUCUUAGGCUAUCGAAACAAAUUAUCUUUCAAAAUACUUUCAAAAGCCAAUCUAUGGGAUAGCUUUAUAUAUGCAUUAAAUCCCUUUUUACCACAAUACCCUAUUGGGUUAAAAUGCAAAUACUCAAAAGCAAGAUCAAAGCCCAAAAUCAGAUAAAAGCAUUUUUUGCAAAAGGGUUUUCUGGGCAAACUUUAGGGUUUUGAAAGUGAUCAAAUGCGAGGGUGACAUGAUGCUUAUGAUAUGCAAUGCAUAUGAAGAAUUUUGAAAAUUGGGAUGUUACAGUUUCAGCAUCAUUUUUCCCCUCAAAGAAAGGUACACACAAUUUAAUUGUAUUAGAAGGAGUGUUUUGUACCGUUGCCGUGGCAUUAUCAACAAGAGACAUGGAGGAUGGCCGGGGUGAAAAGCACUCAUCACGGUCACGGAAUAGCAUCGGUCUAGUUGCCAAGCUUCGUGUAAGUCCUGUCAUGGUUAGUAGAAAACAAGAAACAAAUCACAGUAAUAUGUUCCUAUCAACUACUAGGAUGUGGCUACAAGUCGCUCGACUCUCAAGCUAAAAAUCAAGUUCUUACGAGUUCUUACCAUGCAAAACAGGAAGGUGAUGGCCAGCGGCGUGACCAAGCCCUCCGAAUAUUAAAUGUAUCGAUGCCUCGGUAACAAACCAACCUAGGUGUAGAAUCUGUGGAGCUUGGAGGCUUUUGUGAGUAGCAAGGAAUAGCAAAUAAUCAAAUCAGCAAUGCAAAGUUGAAAAUAUGCUCAAUAAUGCUAGUCCUAGCUGCUGGAGUCGAUAAGAACGAAUUACAGAAAUAAUCUAAGCCUAGAUACUGAAGAAGGUAGGAUAGAAAGAUGGCACAACAAGUAAAUCCCUGGGAUUUUUUUUCUUUUUUUUUCUUUUUGUGGCCUUCUGUUUGGCUUCUUAUUCUUUUCUUCUUCUUUUUUUUCUUUUUUUUCUUUUUUAACCCCAGAAACUCACGCAAAAGAAGGACCGGAAAACUGUACGUCGGUCUGUCGAAGAACAGCAAAGGCUGCAGUAAGAAAAAAUCAGAAAAAUAUGGAAAAAUAUGGGUUAGAAGGGUAUCGACACAAGCUUUCCAGCAAGGGCAAGAUCACUCAAAACGGAUAUCGAACGGUGGAGAAAACUGAGAAACACCGGGCUGCAGCGACGUCGGAAAACGGAUGCAGAAACUUGGAAGCUCCGAAAGUCCACCUUACAAACCGAAUUUGAGGGUCAAAGUGCAGGGCAACGCUCUGGAUAUUUCCUGAUGCGUCUCGUCGUGAGCUUUCCAAAAAGUCCAAGAACGUCCAAAUCCGAGUUGGUACGCAAAAGAUACGCCCGUUUACUGAACACGGGUCAAACCCACCCGAAACUAAAAUUCUACUCGGACUCGGGUCCGAAACUGACUCGAACUCUUGUAUGGAUGAUACGGGUGCGGGUGGCCCGAUCUGUCGAUGAGAUUGAUAACUCUCGAUUUGGGUAGGAGGUGACGUUGACGAUCCGACUACGGCCUAGGAGGCAGCGCCUUAGCAAUCGAUACACCAACUCCAGAGGGUUAUUGAUCACGCGAGGGCACGAUCAACCUGACCACAAAGGUCUUUGUUCCUGCAAGCAAUCGAAGAACAAGCAAGAACAAGAUAAAUAGCGGAUGCAAUCUAAAAUUGCGAAUAUACUAUAUCAAACCAAUGUCUCAACGAGACGAUAAGUUGGGGUUCCGAAAGCGGUAAAACAGGUGGUCUAACCGACACACGCGAUCACACGAAGUAGUAGCGAUGGCUAACUUUUAACUAAACAAAACCCAAGGCUCCUUAGGGGGGCUCAUGGGGUAUAUAUAGGAGGAGGGAGAGAUAUUUUCGU
Molecule: long non-coding RNA, 1862 nt
Filed under: Brachypodium distachyon (stiff brome)
Lineage: Eukaryota; Viridiplantae; Streptophyta; Magnoliopsida; Poales; Poaceae
Description: long non-coding RNA (BDIS_LNC006059)
Source: RNAcentral